GGGGGGGGGGGGGGGGGGUGUGUGUGUGAGGAGGGGGGGGGGCGAACCUGCCGCGCACCCCCACGCAGGGACACGCGCCUCCGGCCGCCGCGGGCGUCCCCAGCGCCGCCAACGCCCCCUCGGGCUGCCCUCAGGACACUAACCAUCUAAUACUAACUAACUUAUCAAAGUUACAUCUCUAACUCUGUCAACCAUGAAAGACUAGAGAAAACAUAACUGAGAUAGACGAGUGCCAGGAGAAGCUAACCAGCUUGCCUUCCGUGAGGGUGAGCUUCCGUGGAAGCUUCCCGAUUGCUUGCAAAGGCACAGAUUGCCCAAAUCGUUCUGAACGUGCAAAGCAGAUUUCAGAUAUUUAUUACGAAGUGGUGGACAGGUUGCAGGCUUGAUGUACUGCCUAGAGAUGGUCCCAGAGUGCGAAAGAAUGACCAAGAGAGAAGAGGGCAUCUUGUAGGCGACUCCUUGGAGUCUCCAGACUUCAGGACAAAGAAGAAGAGGAGAAAAUUAUGACAGCAGAAAAAUCUAUGCAAAUAAAUCUGGAGUAAUGAGAGGGAAAGGCAGAAAAAGUUCAAAGCGAACAUGUGAGGUCUCCGAUGACUCCUCGAGCAAAGUUAUGAGAGAAUUAGCCUUCCUGGUAGCUUAAAGGUGAAAAAACAAGAAGAAAAUCCCUUCCUCUUACACAUUUUAUCAUGCAUGUAGCCUUCUUAAUAAAUUAUUGAGAAACAUGCCAA
Molecule: long non-coding RNA, 728 nt
Organism: Aquila chrysaetos chrysaetos
Lineage: Eukaryota; Metazoa; Chordata; Aves; Accipitriformes; Accipitridae
Exons: 6
Source: RefSeq, a predicted model, not a curated record